This is a long non-coding RNA of Coregonus clupeaformis (lake whitefish), 351 nucleotides long. RefSeq lists it as uncharacterized. The record is from RefSeq and is a predicted model, not a curated record. NCBI's taxonomy places the organism in Eukaryota, Metazoa, Chordata, Actinopteri, Salmoniformes, Salmonidae. The transcript is spliced from 3 exons.
AGGAUGCCAAUGAUACCGCUACUGAACCAUGCUUAUUUUGUAUCCAUUCAUCAAAUUAGCUGUAUUUCGGUGUGAUAUAUCACUUUAUAGGCUGUUUAUAUUAAGUGUCUGUGUGGAGUGGGGACUAUAGGACUGCUUAUCUUGAGAUCUAUGAGGACUAUGGACAGUGGACUACACUGACUAGAGGUAAAGGCUACACAGAUUGGCUGCCAUGAUCAGCACAUCAAGCACUCGUCCGUUCUUGGUGGUUGUGCCUCGCAUUGCCCCAAAUAUGGCCACAGACACAGAGGAGGACAGCGAGGAUGAAAUAGAUGAAACCCCUCCUGGUCCAGGACGUCUGUUCAAUGUGAA